AACGAACGCUGGCGGCAUGCCUAACACAUGCAAGUCGAACGAGACCUUCGGGUCUAGUGGCGCACGGCUGCGUAACGCGUGGGAACCGUCCCUUAGGGUCGGAAUAACUCCCCGAAAGGGGUGCUAAUACCGGAUCAUGUCUUCGGACCAAAGAUUUAUCGCCUUUGGUUGGUCCCGCGUUGGAAUAGCUAGUUGGUAGGGUAAAAGACUACCAAGGCGACGAUCCAUAGCUGGUCUGAGUGGAUGAUCAGCCACACUGGGACUGAGACACGGCCCAGACUCCUCGGGGAGGCCGCAGUGGGGACUAUUGGACAAUGGGCGAAAGCCUGAUCCAGCAAUGCCGCGUGAGUGAUGAAGGCCUUAGGGUUGUAAAGCUCUUUUACCCGGAUGAUAAUGACAGUACCGGGAGAAUAAGCUCCGGCUAACUCCGUG
RNAcentral lists this ribosomal RNA (432 nucleotides) under uncultured bacterium. RNAcentral describes it as "partial 16S ribosomal RNA". It matches the Rfam family "Bacterial small subunit ribosomal RNA", at positions 29 to 507 of the family's 1533-position model. The record is from RNAcentral.